CGGACGGGUGAGUAAUGUCUGGGAAACUGCCUGAUGGAGGGGGAGUAACUACUGGAAACGGUAGCUAAUACCGCAUAACGUCGCAAGACCAAAGAGGGGGACCUUCGGGCCUCUUGCCAUCAGAUGUGCCCAGAUGGGAUUAGCUAGUAGGUGGGGUAACGGCUCACCUAGGCGACGAUCCCUAGCUGGUCUGAGAGGAUGACCAGCCACACUGGAACUGAGACACGGUCCAGACUCCAACGGGAGGCAGCCAUG
Molecule: ribosomal RNA, 255 nt
Filed under: uncultured bacterium
Lineage: Bacteria
Description: partial 16S ribosomal RNA
Rfam family: Bacterial small subunit ribosomal RNA
Source: RNAcentral